RNAcentral lists this long non-coding RNA (764 nucleotides) under Zonotrichia albicollis (white-throated sparrow). Its description in RNAcentral is "lncRNA (ENSZALG00000017690.1)". Lineage: Eukaryota; Metazoa; Chordata; Aves; Passeriformes; Passerellidae. The record is from RNAcentral.
CGCUGUGGGCACCGGGACCGGCCCCGCCCCCGCGCCGCGUGACCGCCCCGCCUCGCGGAGGUGUCAGCGCGGUUCUCGCGAGAGGUGACGGAAGCCCGCGGGGGACCCGGCCUUUAAUGUGCGGUCCGGCGGCGUUGCGGGAAACAGAAAAUAUAGCUCCAGUCCCUCUAGAUGUUAUCUGGAAUCUCUUUACAAGGGAUUACCUCACACAAUUCCAUGUGGCCUGCAGUCAAAUAAUGUUACAAAGAUGAGGAAAUGAAUUUAUCUCCAACUUUUUUCCAGUACAUCCAGAAGAAUCAGAUACUGUAUUCCUACACAUCUCUGAGGUAAUCAGUCUGAAAUUAUUUGCUUUUGCUUACUUGACAUGUCUUGUGUCUAGUGCCCAGAUGUGUACCAGAAGUUUACAUUCUUAGGAUGGUUAGACAGUUUGAGAAUCCUUGCAACUCUACAUGACCAGUAUGCUGGGCAUGACAUGGGUUUAUUCUGCCUGUGAUCUUUAAUCAUAAAAACAUCUUUAUUCAUCUUUAUUUCCUUGAUCAAUCUAAAUAGUGUUCAGAACUAUCAUUGUUAGUUCUCCAUACAAAUACUCAUUUAAAGAUGAAUGUAUUUCCUCCAAGGCAAAGCCACAGAUGCCACAACUAAUUAAAGGAUGUAGUGAAGUAAACUAUUUAUUUGAAAAAUUGUUGUGUUUCAUGGGUGAAUAGUGGACAUUUUCUCAUUUAUAUUUACAAAAUCAUUCAUUAUUAUAUUUUUAGCAUGCAUAG